GCUGGGCGUGGUGGCGUGUGCCUGUAAUCCCAGCUACUUAGGAGGCUGAGGCAGGAGAAUCGCUUGAACCCAGGAGUGAGGGCUGCAGUGAGCCAAGAUCAUGCCACUGCACUCCAGCCUGGGCGACAGAGUGAGAUUCCGUCUCAA
This 147-nucleotide non-coding RNA is filed under the name Homo sapiens (human). Lineage: Eukaryota; Metazoa; Chordata; Mammalia; Primates; Hominidae. The record is from Rfam by way of RNAcentral.